This is a long non-coding RNA of Uloborus diversus, 282 nucleotides long. RefSeq lists it as uncharacterized. The transcript has 3 exons. The record is from RefSeq and is a predicted model, not a curated record. Lineage: Eukaryota; Metazoa; Arthropoda; Arachnida; Araneae; Uloboridae.
UGGAAAUUGAUAAUGAGGAUGACGAUGCAGAAAGUGGGGAUACGGCAACAUCAGGCAAAUCAACAGGACGUUCGGAAAAGAGAAAAUUCAAGUCUCGUCUUGCAAAUGAAAAUGAUGUGACUCAGAAUUCAUUAAAAGAAUCCCACACUAUUUCAAAGCAAGAGCCACAUGAUAAUUUUGCUAUCAUUAACUCAUCUUUUUCAUGCUCAAGAACUUGUCGUAAAUUACUGCAUAAUCUUCUAGUAUCUUCUGACGGCUCAAAAAUGGAUUUUACAAAGCCAG